This 361-nucleotide ribosomal RNA is filed under the name uncultured bacterium. Its description in RNAcentral is "partial 16S ribosomal RNA". It matches the Rfam family "Bacterial small subunit ribosomal RNA", at positions 338 to 716 of the family's 1533-position model. The record is from RNAcentral.
CCUACGGGAGGCAGCAGUGGGGAAUAUUGCACAAUGGGGGAAACCCUGAUGCAGCGACGCCGCGUGAGUGAAGAAGUAUUUCGGUACGUAAAGCUCUAUCAGCAGGGAAGAAAAUGACGGUACCUGACGAAGAAGCCCCGGCGAACUCCGUGCCCGCAGCCGCGGGAAGACGUAGGGGGCAAGCGUUCUCCGGAUUUACUGGGUGGAAAGGGAGCGUAGACGGCAGCGCAAGUCUGAAGUGAAAUCCCAUGGCUUAACCAUGGAACUGCUUUGGAAACUGUGCAGCUGGAGUGCAGGAGAGGUCAGCGGACUUCCUCUUGUAGCGGUUACCUGCGUCGAUAUUAGGAGGCACCCCAGUGGC